RNAcentral lists this ribosomal RNA (250 nucleotides) under uncultured bacterium. RNAcentral describes it as "partial 16S ribosomal RNA". It matches the Rfam family "Bacterial small subunit ribosomal RNA", at positions 524 to 769 of the family's 1533-position model. The record is from RNAcentral.
UACGAAGGGGGCUAGCGUUGUUCGGAUUUACUGGGCGUAAAAGCGCACGUAGGCGGAUUGUUAAGUGAGGGGUGAAAUCCCAAGGGCUCAACCCUGGAACUGCCUUUCAUACUGGCAAUCUUGAGUCCGGAAGAGGUGAGUGGAACUCCUAGUGUAGAGGUGGAAUUCGUAGAUAUUAGGAAGAACACCAGUGGCGAAGGCGGCUCACUGGUCCCGGGUAUGACGCUGAGGGUGCGAAAGCGUGGGGGAG